GAUGAACGCUGGCGGCGUGCCUAAUACAUGCAAGUCGAGCGAACGGACGAGAAGCUUGCUUUUCUGAUGUUAGCGGCGGACGGGUGAGUAACACGUGGAUAACCUACCUAUAAGACUGGGAUAACUUCGGGAAACCGGAGCUAAUACCGGAUAAUAUUUUGAACCGCAUGGUUCAAAAGUGAAAGACGGUCUUGCUGUCACUUAUAGAUGGAUCCGCGCUGCAUUAGCUAGUUGGUAAGGUGACGGCUUACCAAGGCAACGAUGCAUAGCCGACCUGAGAGGGUGAUCAGCCACACUGGAACUGAGACACGGUCCAGACUCCUACGGGAGGCAGCAGUAGGGAAUCUUCCGCAAUGGGCGAAAGCCUGACGGAGCAACGCCGCGUGAGUGAUGAAGGUCUUCGGAUCGUAAAACUCUGUUAUUAGGGAAGAACAUAUGUGUAAGUAACUGUGCACAUCUUGACGGUACCUAAUCAGAAAGCCACGGCUAACUACGUG
RNAcentral lists this ribosomal RNA (497 nucleotides) under uncultured bacterium. RNAcentral's name for it is "partial 16S ribosomal RNA". It matches the Rfam family "Bacterial small subunit ribosomal RNA", at positions 28 to 507 of the family's 1533-position model. The record is from RNAcentral.